RNAcentral lists this ribosomal RNA (435 nucleotides) under Sphingomonas sp. D16. RNAcentral's name for it is "bacterial SSU rRNA". It matches the Rfam family "Bacterial small subunit ribosomal RNA", at positions 958 to 1392 of the family's 1533-position model. The record is from RNAcentral. Lineage: Bacteria; Pseudomonadati; Pseudomonadota; Alphaproteobacteria; Sphingomonadales; Sphingomonadaceae.
AACGCGAAGAACCUUACCAGCGUUUGACAUCCUCAUCGCGGAUUAGAGAGAUCUUUUCCUUCAGUUCGGCUGGAUGAGUGACAGGUGCUGCAUGGCUGUCGUCAGCUCGUGUCGUGAGAUGUUGGGUUAAGUCCCGCAACGAGCGCAACCCUCGUCCUUAGUUGCCAGCAUUCAGUUGGGCACUCUAAGGAAACUGCCGGUGAUAAGCCGGAGGAAGGUGGGGAUGACGUCAAGUCCUCAUGGCCCUUACACGCUGGGCUACACACGUGCUACAAUGGCGGUGACAGUGGGCAGCAAGCAGGCGACUGCAAGCUAAUCUCCAAAAGCCGUCUCAGUUCGGAUUGUUCUCUGCAACUCGAGAGCAUGAAGGCGGAAUCGCUAGUAAUCGCGGAUCAGCAUGCCGCGGUGAAUACGUUCCCAGGCCUUGUACACCCG